GUACCUCUCAUGUCUCCAGGGUUC
RNAcentral lists this non-coding RNA (24 nucleotides) under Arabidopsis thaliana (thale cress). Lineage: Eukaryota; Viridiplantae; Streptophyta; Magnoliopsida; Brassicales; Brassicaceae. The record is from RNAcentral.